CAGAGUGCGUUGAGCCUGAUGCUGGGAUGGAGAGUGAAACAGAACUGUCAGAUCAUUCUCAUGAUGUGACGUCAAGUGAGCCAGCAGGCACUUCAGGAGUGAAUAGCAGCAGGCCAGUAAACACGAAUGAAGGAUCUCCAGAGGGGACACGGGAGGUCAUGAAAGUAACAUCAGUUCCUAGGAAGAGAAAGUGGAGUGAGGUGGAGAUUGCGGCUGUAGAAGAGAAAAUGAUGAAAUUUAUUCACUCGGGAGUUACUCCUGGAAAAGUCGACUGCAUUGCAUGCAUUACAGCAGCCCCCAAAGCCCUCGGUGAACGAGACUGGCAGGCGGUGAAGUAUUAUAUAAAAAACAGAAUCACAGCAUAUGAGAGAAAGACCACUAAAAAGUAA
Cyprinus carpio (common carp) is the source of this 389-nucleotide long non-coding RNA. NCBI's taxonomy places the organism in Eukaryota, Metazoa, Chordata, Actinopteri, Cypriniformes, Cyprinidae. The record is from Ensembl.